GGGUUUUUAGUUUAAAUAGAACGUCUCCCUUCAAAGGAGGAGGUGCCUUUGCGGAGAAACUCG
Molecule: transfer RNA, 63 nt
Filed under: Hydroides norvegica
Lineage: Eukaryota; Metazoa; Annelida; Polychaeta; Sabellida; Serpulidae
Description: tRNA-Trp
Source: RNAcentral